RNAcentral lists this microRNA precursor (61 nucleotides) under Rattus norvegicus (Norway rat). Its description in RNAcentral is "Rno-Mir-3085_pre stem-loop". Lineage: Eukaryota; Metazoa; Chordata; Mammalia; Rodentia; Muridae. The record is from RNAcentral.
AGGUGCCAUUCUGAAGGCCAGGAGUCUGAAUAUGAGUCACUCUGGCUGCUAUGGCCCCCUC